RNAcentral lists this ribosomal RNA (503 nucleotides) under uncultured bacterium. RNAcentral describes it as "bacterial SSU rRNA". It matches the Rfam family "Bacterial small subunit ribosomal RNA", at positions 20 to 518 of the family's 1533-position model. The record is from RNAcentral.
UGGCUCAGGAUGAACGCUAGCGGCAGGCUUAACACAUGCAAGUCGAGGGCAUCGGGAGUAGCAAUACUUGCCGGCGACCGGCGCAAGGGUGCGUAACGCGUGAGCAACAUGCCCGUAUCAGGGGGAUAAUCCAUGGAAACGUGGUCUAAUACCCCAUAGUAAUUAUGUAAGGCAUCUUAUAUAAUUUAAAGCUUUGGUGGAUACGGAUUGGCUCGCGUGACAUUAGCUAGAUGGUAAGGUAACGGCUUACCAUGGCUACGAUGUCUAGGGGUUCUGAGAGGAAGGUCCCCCACACUGGAACUGAGACACGGUCCAGACUCCUACGGGAGGCAGCAGUGAGGAAUAUUGGACAAUGGAUGGAAAUCUGAUCCAGCCAUGCCGCGUGCAAGGAAGACGGCCCUAUGGGUUGUAAACUGCUUUUGUAUGGGAGCAAUAAGGGCUACGCGUAGUCCGAUGAGAGUACCAUACGAAUAAGCACCGGCUAACUCCGUGCCAGCCGCAGC